CCCCUCUCAGGAUGGGACCUGGAGAGUUGCCAGUACUCUAACAGUCUCAGCUAUGGGAGGGAGAGAGUCAAGCAGAGGCAUACCUAUUCCGUUCCUAGCUUGGGCAGCGGCUAGCCAGUGGAAGGCAAUCUGCUACAAGU
This is a small nucleolar RNA of Tachyglossus aculeatus (Australian echidna), 140 nucleotides long. The record is from RefSeq and is a predicted model, not a curated record. Lineage: Eukaryota; Metazoa; Chordata; Mammalia; Monotremata; Tachyglossidae.